CAUGAAGCUGGAAUUGCUAGUAAUGGCAGGUCAGCAUACUGCCGUGAAUACGUUCCCGGGCCUUGUACACACCGCCCGUCACACCAUGAGAGUUGGAAAUGCCCGAAGUCGGUGACCGAACCGAAAGGAAGGAGCCGCCGAAGGCAGGUCUGGUGACUGGGGUGAAGUCGUAACAAGGUACC
Molecule: ribosomal RNA, 182 nt
Filed under: uncultured bacterium
Lineage: Bacteria
Description: partial 16S ribosomal RNA
Rfam family: Bacterial small subunit ribosomal RNA
Source: RNAcentral